GGGCAAUGGUGAUUACUGAUUAGGGAUCAAUCCCAUCGAGAAUACAAAGCACAUUAACUCAAUGAUUAAACAGCAUAUAAACCAUUACAGAAACCCAUGAAAUUACAAAGCGCAAUUGCUUCAACAAUAACCAUAGUGCCAGGCUUACAGAAUUAGAAUGCAGAUACAUGUCAAGGUCAAUCUAGAGAAAAAUCUUUUCUAUGAUACAGCCUGGAAUGUUUUGGUUGGUUAUGAAUCAUGCAGAGGAAAGUGUACUCAGGUUGGCAUCCGCCGUGAAAGUGGAGUAAAACAUAGAAAAUAGCCCCAGUUAAGGAAUAUAUGGAAUGUGCUUGUUCUUCAAUAGUUACAAAAGAAAAUCUGAGAAGUUGCUUAUAUUUUUUUUUCUUCUUAUAAUCUUCAGGUCCCAAUAAAAUGUACAGCAUGUGGAAAGAGGUGUUUCUUAGGCUUGCACAUAGACAUGACUUUUGCUACAUGUUUGUGAGAAGAUACUUGCAUUAUGCAAGAUAAUUCAUCAUAGGUUCCUAGAAAAUAGUACUCCCUUUGUACUAAAGCAGCGACAAUUAAUAUGGAUCAGAGGGAGUAAUAUAUAUUAACAAUAGAAAUAAGGAAGCUAAGAUUGACUACAUGCAUGAGAUAAGUUCCAAGCAAAUUUACCUUGCGAGCUUCAGUGUCCUUCCAAACAUUGCCUGCAGAUCCAAGAACGACAACAACUGCAAGUUGAAAUAAGAAUAUAGCAGCAGUAAGCUUAUCAAUCAUUGCAUCCAUAGCAGUAAGCUUGGGCUCUGGGACUCCCCUACUCAUGCCCAACUUAGUCUCAUUGCCUGCAAAGUUGAGAUAAAAAAAUGGUUGGCCUUAUAAUCUCAAGAGAAAUAAAAUAUCAAGGUAAUAUAAACAUUCUCAAUAUUGUCAUAUGGAUCAGUCAGGAUUAGAAUAGAAAACCGUGCACCUGGUUCCACGCUCAUAUCAAUGUAAUUAGUGUUAAACUCUAUCUUACUAAUCCUAUGUCCUAUAUAUCUAAGUAAGUGAUCCCAUUUAAAUGCACAUGCAAGCCAUCCCCAUCAUCAAGCGCAUGCAACACUUCCACUUUUCACUUUUCACUUUCCACCACAUGCAAGCCACCCACAUCAUCAAGCGCAUGCAACCCUUUCACUUUUCACUUUCCACUUUCCACCAUAUGCAAGCCCUCCACAUCAUCAAGCACAUUCAAGCCCUCCAAAUCAUCAUCUUUUUCAGCAACAAAUAAUUGAACUUGAAUGUCACAAAGGCAAUAUAACAUGCAUCCACACUCUAUUUACCUCUAGUUUUGUUACUGUUCAUAUGGUGAGAACGUGGUGCGGUAUUCAGUGGUGGAGCUACGUUGAAGCAAAACUGGGCCAUGGUCCGCCCAGUUUUUCUGCAACAGACUGGGCCUAAGGAUAAAUCUGGGCCAUAAUUGACAGAAAGUUGGGCCUCGCUUCAGGCUGGCCCGCCCAUGCCUUUGAAUGUAGCUCUACCGCUAGCAGUAUAAUUCUCAUGUAUUCCAAUUUUAUUUUGGAUAAUUUCAUCGCUAUAAAUUUCCGCACCAGGGUGUUCUUUAGUAGAUGCAGUUUUUCCUUCAAACAUACAUUGUCCUCCAGACAAAACUGAGUAUGAGCCGAUACUAACACUGACGCAAAAGUGUAAGAAAAACAUACUACAUGUUUCAACUACAAUCU
RNAcentral lists this long non-coding RNA (1694 nucleotides) under Hordeum vulgare. RNAcentral's name for it is "long non-coding RNA (HVUL_LNC003540)". The record is from RNAcentral. Lineage: Eukaryota; Viridiplantae; Streptophyta; Magnoliopsida; Poales; Poaceae.